AUUGAACGCUGGCGGCAGGCCUAACACAUGCAAGUCGAGCGGAUCAAGGGAGCUUGCUCCUGGAUUCAGCGGCGGACGGGUGAGUAAUGCCUAGGAAUCUGCCUGGUCGUGGGGGAUAACGUCCGUAAACGGGCGCUAAUACCGCAUACGUCCUGAGGGAGAAAGUGGGGGAUCUUCGGACCUCACGCUAUCAGAUGAGCCUAGGUCGGAUUAGCUAGUUGGUGGGGUAAAGGCCUACCAAGGCGACGAUCCGUAACUGGUCUGAGAGGAUGAUCAGUCACACUGGAACUGAGACACGGUCCAGACUCCUACGGGAGGCAGCAGUGGGGAAUAUUGGACAAUGGGCGAAAGCCUGAUCCAGCCAUGCCGCGUGUGUGAAGAAGGUCUUCGGAUUGUAAAGCACUUUAAGUUGGGAGGAAGGGCAGUAAGUUAAUACCUUGCUGUUUUGACGGUACCAACAGAAUAAGCACCGGCUAACUUCGUG
This 484-nucleotide ribosomal RNA is filed under the name uncultured bacterium. RNAcentral's name for it is "partial 16S ribosomal RNA". It matches the Rfam family "Bacterial small subunit ribosomal RNA", at positions 30 to 507 of the family's 1533-position model. The record is from RNAcentral.